RNAcentral lists this ribosomal RNA (301 nucleotides) under uncultured bacterium. Its description in RNAcentral is "partial 16S ribosomal RNA". It matches the Rfam family "Bacterial small subunit ribosomal RNA", at positions 509 to 807 of the family's 1533-position model. The record is from RNAcentral.
CAGUCGCCGCGGUAAUACAGAGGGUGCGAGCGUUAAUCGGAUUUACUGGGCGUAAAGCGUGCGUAGGCGGCUUCUUAAGUCGGAUGUGAAAUCCCUGAGCUUAACUUAGGAAUUGCAUUCGAUACUGGGAAGCUAGAGUAUGGGAGAGGAUGGUAGAAUUCCAGGUGUAGCGGUGAAAUGCGUAGAGAUCUGGAGGAAUACCGAUGGCGAAGGCAGCCAUCUGGCCUAAUACUGACGCUGAGGUACGAAAGCAUGGGGAGCAAACAGGAUUAGAGACCCCCGUAGUCCCUGUCUCUUAUAC